Echinops telfairi (small Madagascar hedgehog) is the source of this 375-nucleotide non-coding RNA. The record is from the annotation of a RefSeq genome assembly. Lineage: Eukaryota; Metazoa; Chordata; Mammalia; Afrosoricida; Tenrecidae.
AUGAACGCUUCUCUAGGACUAGUGGCUGUGAUGCUCUUAGCGCUUGGAGUAACCAGUGAAGACUACUCAGUGGCCCAGGAUGAAGGCCAAGUCAUCGUCUCCAAAGGGGCUUUCCUGACCAUAAACUGCACGUAUACAGCCAAAGGGUAUCCCACGCUUUUCUGGUACGUCCAGUAUGCGGGUGAAGGUCUACAGCUUCUUCUGAAAGCCACCAAGGCUGAUGAGAAGGGACGUAACAAAGGCUUUGAAGCCACAUACAAGAAAGAAACAUCUUCCUUCCACCUGGAGAAAGCCGCAGUGCAAGAGUCAGACUCAGCUGUGUACUACUGCCUUCUUAUAUCUGGUUCUUCGAUUAACUGUUGCAUCAUCUCCUGA